GGAGCUGUCGCAUAGUGGCCUAGUGCGCCUCCCUGCUAAGGAGGUUGGGGUGUUCGCCCCUCGCGGGUUCAAAUCCCGCCAGCUCCGCCA
RNAcentral lists this transfer RNA (90 nucleotides) under Schaalia canis. Its description in RNAcentral is "Actinomyces canis tRNA-Ser". It matches the Rfam family "tRNA". From Rfam's summary of the family: Transfer RNA (tRNA) molecules are approximately 80 nucleotides in length. Their secondary structure includes four short double-helical elements and three loops (D, anti-codon, and T loops). The record is from RNAcentral. Lineage: Bacteria; Bacillati; Actinomycetota; Actinomycetes; Actinomycetales; Actinomycetaceae.